RNAcentral lists this ribosomal RNA (490 nucleotides) under uncultured bacterium. RNAcentral's name for it is "partial 16S ribosomal RNA". It matches the Rfam family "Bacterial small subunit ribosomal RNA", at positions 29 to 507 of the family's 1533-position model. The record is from RNAcentral.
AUUGAACGCUGGCGGCAGGCUUAACACAUGCAAGUCGAACGGUAACAGGAAGAAGCUUGCUUCUUUGCUGACGAGUGGCGGACGGGUGAGUAAUGUCUGGGAAACUGCCUGAUGGAGGGGGAUAACUACUGGAAACGGUAGCUAAUACCGCAUAACGUCGCAAGACCAAAGAGGGGUACCUUCGGGCCUCUUGCCAUCGGAUGUGCCCAGAUGGGAUUAGCUAGUAGGUGGGGUAACGGCUCACCUAGGCGACGAUCCCUAGCUGGUCUGAGAGGAUGACAGCCCGCAUGGGAACGGAGACAGGGCCCAGACUCCUACGGGAGGCAGCAGUGGGGAAUGUGACGCAGUGGGGGGAAGCCUGACGCAGCGACGGCGAGUGUGAGACAAAGGCGUGGGGUUUGGAAAGAUCUUUGAGGGGGGAGGAAGGGAUUAAGGUUAAUACGUUGCCUCAGUGACGGUACCGGAUAAAGAAGCACCGGCUAACUACGUG